AAGUGCGAUUGUGUAAAGUUGUUCAUGGAUGGACAAUGAAUACAAUUGAUCAUCGAUCGUAUAACUAAAUUCGAAUUGUGUAAUUUUGUCCAUUCCAUGAAGACCGAAAAGUGACCGGUCGUAUAUAAUCGUUUCAUGGAUUUGCGUUUUAUUAAUGAAAAAUAUUCGCUAAAACUCAUUAUUUUUUAACAAAUAACAAAUCAAAUCCAUGUUCAAAUGCAGUUUUUUUUUAAUAAAAUUUUAUGAUUGCACCUUAAUAACAUACUUUUAUUCAUAAAAACAUUGAAUUCGAACUAAAAAUUUACCUCUGCAAAUCAUAUAACCAAACGCAUAGAACGAAUGAAAUACGAGUUUCACUACCCGCCCCCAGGUGGCAUACAUACUUUAAGGCUAGGCAGGCUAAGUUGACUACUACUCUACAAUAGGUGGCGUUAAUGGACUACGAAAAACGACGUGAAAUGCUUACUUCUUUUUAUUUAUUUAUACUUUAAUGCCAAAAUUUUAACCUAAGGCGAACUUAAUCUCACAUUUAAUAAAUUAUACAUACUUCUUCUUAAUAAGUGUUUUGAGAAGUAGUAUUUUAAUCUAUGUUCUGUGAAUGACAAGUGUUAUCUGUCAAGUGUCAAAAAACUUGAAAAACUUUUACGAAGUUUUUGAAUUAUGUUAAAUUUGUUUAUAAACACAAGUAAGUAUAGAUUAUUACACUAAAUUAAGGCAUUCUAUCAAAAAUGAAAACAACCCAAGUUUCAAUAACUACUCCUGUAACUUUGGUUUCUUCAUAUCAAAUAAUCAAUUUCAUUUUCAGUGCCAAAGGCAAGAAUAAUUGCCCACGCCAGAUGGAGACCCAGCUAAAUAAUGUAGUAACAGCGCGUGGUCGUGUGAUGAGGGUUCCUUGACUUGAGUUCUGGCGCAACACGUCCUGGGCACUAAACAAGAUUGGGGAUGGGGCGUCUAAAGAGGUGCAAGCCUGGAAAACGCUCUCGUCUUGCUCUACAGCACUUGCACUUGUCCCACCACCUACCAGUGUUGGAACUCUUCCAAUAAUUUCCCACAUCCAGGUGGAGAAUACUCCAGUUACUGCUACUGCUACUCUAAAAUAUCUCUCAUCUUGUUCUACAGCAGCGCCUGCACCUGUCCUACCAUCUACCAGUGUUGGAACUCUUCGAAGCGUAUUAAUGAUUAUUAUUUUAGUAACCAUAAAAGUUUAAAACAAUACAUUUUAUUGCAUAAUUAUUUGUUAGAAAAAACGACAAGUACAAAUGAGUAGGGAGGCUGUUGAUUUUUCAUGGUUAUUUUAUAUCUUGUUGAUUGUUCCAAAAAAAAACUAAGUUUUCAAGAAUGCUGUGAUUAAAGUACCUAUAGUAUUAUAUUUAAAAUGAAAACUUAGUUUGUAAAGAGACGAAGGCUGACCACAAAAGAAGUACUUAUAGCUGUCUGUGUCUGUGUAAAGAAUUUAAAUAAAAAGAUGUGUAUAUUUAAA
Molecule: long non-coding RNA, 1480 nt
Organism: Ostrinia nubilalis (European corn borer)
Lineage: Eukaryota; Metazoa; Arthropoda; Insecta; Lepidoptera; Crambidae
Exons: 3
Source: RefSeq, a predicted model, not a curated record